GAUGAACGCUGGCGGCGUGCCUAAUACAUGCAAGUUGAGCGAACAGACGAGGAGCUUGCUCCUCUGACGUUAGCGGCGGACGGGUGAGUAACACGUGGAUAACCUACCUAUACGACUGGGAUAACUUCGGGAAACCGGAGCUAAUACCGGAUAAUAUAUUGAACCGCAUGGUUCAAUAGUGAAAGACGGUUUUGCUGUCACUUAUAGAUGGAUCCGCGCCGCAUUAGCUAGUUGGUACGGUAACGGCUUACCAAGGCCACGAUGCGUAGCCGACCUGAGAGGGGGAUCGGCCACACUGGAACUGAGACACGGUCCAGACUCCUACGGGAGGCAGCAGUCGGGAAUCUUCCGCAAUGGGCGAAAGCCUGACGGAGCAACGCCGCGUGAGUGAUGAAGGUCUUCGGAUCGUAAAACUCUGUUAUUAGGGAAGAACAAAUGUGUAAGUAACUAUGCACGUUUUGACGGUACCUAAUCAGAAAGCCACGGCUAACUACGUG
This 497-nucleotide ribosomal RNA is filed under the name uncultured bacterium. RNAcentral describes it as "partial 16S ribosomal RNA". It matches the Rfam family "Bacterial small subunit ribosomal RNA", at positions 28 to 507 of the family's 1533-position model. The record is from RNAcentral.